GAGCAAGGCCAGCCUGAAUGCCUCAGCCUGGGGAGCCACCAUUCAGGGCUAAAUUGACAGCUCAGAGAUACAGGAGUUCAGCCUGCUAAUUUGCUGCAAGAUACGGCAAAGGAAAGCCACUGACACCUGCGUCUCCAGCUGCCAGGAAGUGGGGCGAAUUUGCCAGUGACUUUGUCGUUGUCUAGCCACAGUGAGUAGUCCCAUGUUCCUCCUCCUCCAAGGACUUCCUUGGGAGAAUUUCAGAGCUUCUCUAGAAGAGAGUGAGUCCCAUUUCUUUCCUGAAAAUUCCUGGGAUGACGACGACUGGUCCACCCAGCUUGGGUCAGCUGCCUUCCCCUAACCCAGUCAGCUCCGGACAGGCCCAUCGUUCAGCAUCGCUGCAUGCAUGGUAAACCCGGAAGAUGUAGGCGGUUUCCAGAAAAGCGUGGGCAGGAACAUUUCUUCUGAUUUUUCUCGUCACCCCACCAAAGGGCCAAUCUAGCAAACCAGGCUAUACUCCUAACUUGGGAGAUGGGAACACUGAACACGAGACAGACAGACAGACAGAGAGGUUGGCCUUUCAUCUGUAUUGUGCAUGGAGCGAUCACAUCUAGUAUGAAAACACACUCUGCUCAGAUGUACUCACUCCUUGAGAGAAGAUGGCGGGAAAGACGCUCUAUCUUGGGAUUAUUAUUAAUUAAGAAAGGCUCAUGGGGGCUUCCCUGGUGGCACAGUGGUUGAGAGUCCGCCUGCCGAUGCAGGGGACACGGGUUCGUGCCCUGGUCCGGGAAGAUCCCACAUG
Aethalodelphis obliquidens (Pacific white-sided dolphin) is the source of this 781-nucleotide long non-coding RNA. RefSeq lists it as uncharacterized. The transcript is spliced from 4 exons. The record is from RefSeq and is a predicted model, not a curated record. NCBI's taxonomy places the organism in Eukaryota, Metazoa, Chordata, Mammalia, Artiodactyla, Delphinidae.